RNAcentral lists this unclassified non-coding RNA (301 nucleotides) under Glomus sp. RNAcentral describes it as "partial contains 5.8S ribosomal RNA and internal transcribed spacer 2". The stretch from base 1 to 71 matches the Rfam family "5.8S ribosomal RNA", at positions 84 to 154 of the family's 154-position model. Lineage: Eukaryota; Fungi; Glomeromycota; Glomeromycetes; Glomerales; Glomeraceae. The record is from RNAcentral.
GUGAAUCAUCAAAUUUUUGAACGCAAAUUGAACUCUCUGGUAUUCCGGAGAGUAUGCCUGUUUGAGGGUCAGUUUAAAUAAAAAUAGGUGUGGUUGGUGCCUUUCGUGGUGAUGCACCGGAUUUGGGUCGUCUUGCCUUCGGUUAAGUGACCUAAAAUUUUGCAUGAUUUUUUUCGAACGUAUUUAAAUGAUUUUACGUACGUUUGCGAUAUCGAAUAAUAGGUGUGGUCGUACUAAUGAUUCGCGCGUAUAAUUUUUCAUCAAUAUGACAUCAAGUCAGGUAUGAGUAUCCGCUUGACUU